UUAACUGAAUCCUUAAAUGUUUGAUAUUUAGAGUCUGUAAACAGGAAAUGUUUUGAUCCGAACACCAGCUCUCGCUACAACCAUGAGUUUAAUGCAGUUGGUUCUUGUUUUAAAAUGUUCAUGCUGAAGAGCCUCAGAGUAGCAAAAGAGCUGAAAAUGAGACCAGUGAAAUUACUGACACAUCAAGCCAAAAAGCAACUAAAAAUGGGUAAAAAUAGCUUUGUGGUCAAGUCAUUGGACUAAAGGAUGUGAGUUCAAAUCCCAGCCACACAAAUCUCCUAACCACAUUGCUGCUCUGUUGUAUCAACAAGGGAAACUUUUAUUAACAAUUCAUUCAUUUUUCUGACCUUUGAUAAGAUCCGAUCCCAUUCUGAUGCAUUGAUUUGUUGUAACAAAUUAGUCCUAAUAACUACUGAAUUCAUAAAGAUUUCGUGCAGGUGAAUGUUCAGGUUGAUGGUUUAGGGUGUAAUGAUUACAUGAAGCCUGUAGAUGGCAGUACAGGUUAACAUUUAUUGUAACUUAAAUUAUGCACUCUAAGUUCACACACGUGCUGCUGUUUGCUACCUGCUAGAUUUAUUGCUUUAAUUUCCUAAAUGACUAAUAAAUUGGUUAAAAAAAAAUGGAUACGGGUUCUAAUCUAGGGGUCAGUUACAAUCUGUAAAACCUCAGUACUAAUUUUAUUUUUUUUAAUCUCUGUUUUAAUGAAGGAGAAAUUACAGGUAAUUACAGUUGCAGACAUUUACAAAUAUUAUCUGGGGAAAAGGCUAGUGUUUAAUCUUUCUUGUUACUAAAUAUAAUAGUGUGAUUCUGACAAAAGUUUGAAAUAUCAAACCAUUUCAAAACCAUCUAUUCAAGAAUCAUGUUGCCCUUAAUGAUAUCUUAUUUUUUUAACAUUGCCUUGGCUGAUUCUUUUGUUUCUUUUUGUACCAAAGAAUCAAGAGAUAACACUGAUCUCAGUAGUGUUCCAGUUAAAAUAAGUAAAAGAAAGAGAGUGAGAAAAGAAAUAAAUGGGUUGUGCUGAGGUUCUCCUCUGCCCUAAAUACAUAAAUAAAUCAUAAUAGCCUCUUUCAAGACGUUAUGAUCUUAUUGCUGAUUUGUGCACUCUUUCUGCUUAUAAAUAAAUAUCAUAAACCAAAUAAAGAAAUAAACUGGUUGUGGAUCCGCAGUCCCACUCGUGUCCUCAGUCUGUCCCGAGUCACAUGAUUCGGUGUGGUAAUUAAAUUCCCCACCCGGUUGCUAUGUUUACUGCGUUUCCAAAGACAAAGAGUGAAUUCUUUAUCAAAAUAUUUGUGUGUCACAAGAUGUAGUCAAGGUCAAAUAAAUGUGGGUAUGAUGGUGAAAGGGGACUGGAGGAAGGAGUUUAUUUUUAAGUGCAUGUAGAAAUAACUGGCAACUUCAAAUGAGCACAUAUCUGAUGUUGCUUCAUUCCUGUAUGAGAAGCUGAUGUGAGACACAGAGCACUGUCUGCGUCUAAUAAGAGGACGUCCAAGUAGUCCACUGUGUGUGUGUGUGUGUGUGUGUGUGUGUGUGUGUGUCAUGAUGACUUUAAUCACUGCUGAUGUUAAAUUCUGUGUACUUGAACUAAAGGUCUGGAACAGCGCGUGGUUAUAACCAGCAUUUUUCUGUCUUUAUUUAUUUAUAGAAUGAAGAAUAAAGUUGAAUAGGAGCUCCCUUAGAUCCUUACAUUAGUACAUUUAUUGUUUUGUAUUUCACUCAUAAAUAACUUUCAUUUCUCUUAGUUUUGAUGUGUGAAUUGUAAAAAAAAAAAAUCACUCAUUUCCAGUUUGUAAUUAAUUUUAAUGUGGUUUUUGAUUCUUGGCUUAAAUAUAUAAAGGCUCGUUAUUUGUAAAUGUGUGUAUGACGUGGUAGAACGUUGGAGGUGCACAGUUGUAUAGCACGUCUUCGAAUGAGCUAGCAUUAUAUUUUCCAUUGACUUGAAUUAAAAGACCCAAACUUGUUCCAUUAUGAAAAUGCUCCUGUGCUGAAAAAAAAGCACAGAUUAUAGCAGCAGGCAAAAAUAACCGAUUAAGAUGGACUUGAAUAAGAGCAAGAACAUCGAACUUCUUACUCAUCGAUGUUGUUCUGCUUUUCCUUUACGUUUCACAUGAUCCUCAGGCUGAUGAAUCAUCCAGAUGAAAUCUACAUCUGGAUUUCUGUUAAAGCUGUUGGGACGUUAAAAAGCGUUUGUGCAGAAGUUAAACCCACAAAAUUACCACUUUACAGCUCCACACAAUUACUUUAUGACUCUGCAGGAUGCACUGACUGAGAGUCGCCGAGGUCACACCAGAUAUGUCUGAAAAUAAACUAGAGGAACCAGGAGAACCAGAGCUGGAAAGUAGAAUUAGAAACGUGCUGGAGACUCGAAGCUGAUUUAAUUCAAAAGAAGCACGGGUUAAAUUAUCGUGGGCUGGAGAAAUCAGAAAGAAGAAAACAAACAUUCUAAAAGCAUUUGGAUAAAUAUAUAGCACAUAAAGAGUCUAGAAAAGGGGGCGGGGCUAGAAGCAGAUCACUAAGUGUAAUAGCCUGAAAAUGGGCGGGGCUAGAAGCAGAUCACUGUAUAAAUAAGUAAGAGUUACACAGGGUGUUUAUCCAAACAUAAACCUCAGCAUGUUUGUCGAGUUUUUGCAGCACAGGAGGCUUUAUAAACAUUAAUAAUGAGAUGCAGAAAUAGAAAAGGGUAAACGUGUAAUCUUUUGUGUGUGAAUGCUCAUUAAUGUGGAGUAGAUGCUUUGGUCCUGCUGGUGGCGCUGGGCCUGUGAAAUCCUGUUUAUCAUUAUAUUAUCAUUAAUCAUAUACAUUGAUUGACUGUAGCUCAUGGCUUCAGAGAGAUGUGUAAGCACUUCCUAAAAAGAGAAGUAAUGGGCGUUGCCUGACAUGCGCAACAUGGAAAAUAUAUGUAAAAAUACGACCAAUCACAGGUUUGAUUGUGUCACAUGGAGUUCCCACAGUUAAUGUGAACAGUGAAGAGAUAAAAAAUUGUCUGCCACACCCAUUUGCUCUGCAGCUACAUUUCCUGUUGACGUUCAUGAAUUCUUAUUCAAGAGCAUGUGACAAAAACCCAAGAAUUUUUUAAUGUUUUAAAUAUUUUAGCUGAAAUCUGAUAAAAUAAGGACAUGCGCGUUAGAUUUGGGUGUAGUUUGCGUUAGGAAAUUGUAGCACCUCUUGUUCGUAGCUUCGCACGUCGUCAUUUUGGAGUGUCACAAUUUGUGUACCGCCCACCUGCACACAGGCCACGCCCCCUGGCAUUGCAGCUGUGUGUUGAUGAUAAUAUUGAUUUUACACUUCAUUUAAAUCAGGUGUCUGUUUGUUUAAUUUUGGCCUCCGCACUAUAGCAGAAUUGUGUGUGUGUGUGUGUGUGUGUGUGUGUGUGUGUGUGUGUGUGUGUGUGUGUAAAUUAAGUGCAUUUUAUAAGCAUGCAUUCAGAUCCCUAAGUACAAGCGUUUACUUGUGACUAAUGCAGCUGAAGAAAAGAAUUUGUGUGUGUGUGUGUGUGUGUGUGUGUGUGUGUGUGUGUGUGUGUGUGUGUGUUGAAAGACUCACACUGCAGGAAUUUAAGUUGUGUUAAAGUGGUGUGUGUGUGUGUAUCUUUGCUUGCCUUCUGCCUGAGGCCAAACUCUGUCUCAUGACCAAAACAGUCGAAGAGCAACCAGAGCGUCAGGCCGUGUGUGUGUGUGUGUGUGUGUGUGUGUGUGUGUGUGUGUGAUGGCUUUAGCGUCCCUAAAACCUCACAACUGACAAACUUUCAGUUCUGGUUUUAAGACCGGUUCUGAUUGUUUAUAGGUGCCAAUACUUACAGACGUUUCAUUCAUAAUUAUUUAAGACUUUCGAUGUGAUUCACUGAAGGGGAAAGGAUGCAGGAAUCUCUCUCUCUCUCUCUCUCUCUCUCUCUCUCUCUCUCUCUCUCUUUAAUCUGUU
This is a long non-coding RNA of Silurus meridionalis, 3915 nucleotides long. RefSeq lists it as uncharacterized. The transcript is spliced from 3 exons. NCBI's taxonomy places the organism in Eukaryota, Metazoa, Chordata, Actinopteri, Siluriformes, Siluridae. The record is from RefSeq and is a predicted model, not a curated record.